ACCUUUUGUAGAAUGCUGACUGAAGAACCUGCAUCGCGGAGUGCACUAGGGUAAUCAAUGCCUCCUAUCAAGCAUGGUACUAGAAACUUUCCACGAUCACUCUUCUUCUUAGUGUAAUCCUCUGUCUCAUCUUCUCUAUGAUCUGGUGGAACAUUCUCAUAAUGUCUUCUUCAGUCUCCUUAGUUUCUCUAAAGAACAUCCAAAGCCUGUGGGUAAAGUAAGCCUCCUCAAAUGGCUUAUCCAUUGAGAUUCUUAGAAUCCUCUUUGUGAAACUAUCCAUCUCCUUAUUAUUAGUGAGUUCCAUUAAUCAACAACAAUCCCCCAAAAACCAUGCCCCAACACACACACACAACACAUAGUCCCAGGGUAAAAAUGCAUGCAACUGAACAACGCGGAAGCAAUGCAACAAUGCAUGAAUGCAAUCUCACUACAGAGACUCAUCUCAACUCGUAGGACCAAGACAACCACAAGCCUUGUCCUAAACAACUCUCGUCUAGACUCGAUUCUAGACCCAUA
RNAcentral lists this long non-coding RNA (516 nucleotides) under Brassica napus (rape). RNAcentral's name for it is "long non-coding RNA (BNAP_LNC023185)". The record is from RNAcentral. Lineage: Eukaryota; Viridiplantae; Streptophyta; Magnoliopsida; Brassicales; Brassicaceae.